This 305-nucleotide ribosomal RNA is filed under the name uncultured bacterium. Its description in RNAcentral is "bacterial SSU rRNA". It matches the Rfam family "Bacterial small subunit ribosomal RNA", at positions 337 to 656 of the family's 1533-position model. The record is from RNAcentral.
UCCUACGGGGGGCAGCAGUGGGGAAUAUUGGGCAAUGGGCGCAAGCCUGACCCAGCAACGCCGCGUGAAGGAAGAAGGCUUUCGGGUUGUAAACUUCUUUUGUCAGGGACGAAGCAAGUGACGGUACCUUGUGAGAAAGUCACGGCUAACUACGUGCCAGCAGCCGCGGUAAUACGUAGGUGACAAGCGUUGUCCGGAUUUACUGGGUGUAAAGGGCGCGUAGGCGGACUGUCAAGUCAGUCGUGAAAUACCGAAGCUUAACUUCGGGGCUGCGAUUGAAACUGACAGCCUUGAGUAUCGGAGAG